Molecule: ribosomal RNA, 446 nt
Filed under: uncultured bacterium
Lineage: Bacteria
Description: partial 16S ribosomal RNA
Rfam family: Bacterial small subunit ribosomal RNA
Source: RNAcentral
CCUACGGGUGGCAGCAGUCGAGAAUCAUUCACAAUGGGGGAAACCCUGAUGGUGCGACGCCGCGUGGGGGAAUGAAGGUCUUCGGAUUGUAAACCCCUGUCAUGUGGGAGCAAAUUAAAAAGAUAGUACCACAAGAGGAAGAGACGACUAACUCUGUGCCAGCAGCCGCGGUAAUACAGAGGUAUCAAGCGUUGUUCGGAAUCACUGGGCGUAAAGGGUGCGUAGGCUGUUUCGUAAGUCGUGUGUGAAAGGCGCGGGCUCAACCCGCGGACGGCACAUGAUACUGCGAGACUAGAGUAAUGGAGGGGGAACCGGAAUUCGCGGUGUAGCAGUGAAAUGCGUAGAUAUCGAGAGGAACACUCGUGGCGAAGGCGGGUUCCUGGACAGUAACUGACGCUGAGGCACGAAGGCCAGGGGAGCGAAAGGGAUUAGAUACCCCAGUAGUC